This 403-nucleotide ribosomal RNA is filed under the name uncultured Clostridium sp. RNAcentral describes it as "bacterial SSU rRNA". It matches the Rfam family "Bacterial small subunit ribosomal RNA", at positions 356 to 774 of the family's 1533-position model. The record is from RNAcentral. Lineage: Bacteria; Bacillati; Bacillota; Clostridia; Eubacteriales; Clostridiaceae.
GGGGGAUAUUGCACAAUGGAGGAAACUCUGAUGCAGCAACGCCGCGUGAGGGAAGACGGUUUUCGGAUUGUAAACCUCUGUCCUUGGUGACGAAACAAAUGACGGUAGCCAAGGAGGAAGCUCCGGCUAACUACGUGCCAGCAGCCGCGGUAAUACGUAGGGAGCAAGCGUUGUCCGGAUUUACUGGGUGUAAAGGGUGCGUAGGCGGCUCUGCAAGUCAGGCGUGAAAUAUAUGGGCUCAACCCAUAUCAGCGUUCAAAACUGCUUUUCUUGAGUGAAGUAGAGGUUGGCGGAAUUCCUAGUGUAGCGGUGAAAUGCGUAGAUAUUAGGAGGAACACCAGUGGCGAAGGCGGCCAACUGGGCUUUUACUGACGCUGAGGCUCGAAAGCGUGGGGAGCAAACA